UCAUAUAAGGUCAACUCCAAACAUUCAAAACGCAUUGUUGAAUGGAAUUAGGUAUUUUGAGUGUUUGGAAUUGAACUUGUAUGC
Molecule: non-coding RNA, 84 nt
Organism: Macaca mulatta (Rhesus monkey)
Lineage: Eukaryota; Metazoa; Chordata; Mammalia; Primates; Cercopithecidae
Source: Rfam